Molecule: long non-coding RNA, 556 nt
Organism: Leptidea sinapis
Lineage: Eukaryota; Metazoa; Arthropoda; Insecta; Lepidoptera; Pieridae
Exons: 4
Source: RefSeq, a predicted model, not a curated record
UAACAUUCUGUAUUUAAUCAGAUGUCACGAUGGUUGUGCGUUGUUUUAUUUUAAUUUUCCUUGUCAGUUACAUUGCAUGUGAUACCUGCGGGCCAAAUGAAGUACAGAAGGAAGAUCCGAAUGAGUGCGUAGCAGAUUGUUGUCCCGUGGGAAACAACACCCCAUGCCCGGAUCCUUGUCCCGCAGGACCUUGCAAGUGUGGUCUAAAUAGCCGUAGAGACAGGUUCGGGAAAUGUAUUUCGACACGUGAUUGUCCUGCUUAUCCAUGUCCCAAGCACGAAGAAUACGACCCAUGUCCUACGUGUUCGGAGAGUUGUAGCAACGCGUCACCAGAUGGUGAGCGUUGUCGCUUCCCAGCAGGCGUCAGGAUUGGGAUCACAGUCAUCUGCGAGCCCAAAUGUAGAUGCAAGAAGUACCGCUGGAGAGACGCCAAGGGAAAGUGUGUGCCUUAUCAUAAAUGCGCCCGGGAAUCGACAGCCUCAACAGCCUGCAAUGAAUAAUGAAGAUCAGAAAAUGAAAAUAUUUAUUUUUGACUUUGAAAGGAAAUAAAGUGGAU